CCCGGGCAGCGUGGGGGCGGGGAGGAGGACGCGGCCACCAGGUCGCCGCGCCCCAGUUGAAAAUACUCCCUAACAGGAAGCUUGCAAAUGGAAACCUGGCGUCCUGCGCCCACUUUCGGAUGGGGCUGCUGCAGCAGCUGGCGGGCGGACCGGCGGUCCUGUAACCUCUGUUGCUCCGGGCUAAGCGCGGCCGGGUCCUGCGGGUCGGGCUGAGUGCCUGCGGACAACUUUAUCCGCUCAGACUCCAGCCGCGGCGGAGCGGGCAGCCAAGGUGCGCUUCGGGCUGCGCGGUGGACAGUCAUCCCCUCGGAGGUGACUGUUUGCCGUUCCAGGGGACGGGGCUCGCCCUCUCCCUGGGCCAGGGUGCCUGAUGCAAGAUGGCUGUAUUUUGUAAGCCUCUAAAACAAUGUAUGGAAUACAACGUUAACUGUACAGGGCCUGUCCUGGGAGUUUGUCCUACCAGCCAGAGUGGGCCUUGUAACCGUCUCAGUAUUUGGUAGGAUUACUUCGGAAAGAGGCUUGCCAAAUAUAAUAGCGUAGUCCAGUGUUGUCAGCUUCAGCAUAGUUUGCAAGGGGCUGAAAACGGCAGAAAUAAGGGAAACAUGGUUUACGAAUUAUGUUUAACCAUUUUCCAAUUCUCGGUAGCCUGCAGAACAGACUUCAUGGCUCAAGCUACCCUCAUUAACUGGCGGUUGAUUGGCUAACAAACAGCUGAACCUUCCUAGAUAUUGACAACGCUCUACAACUGUCUGUGCACGUUUUCCGUAGAAGUGUCAUGAAGACAUCCCAUAGGAUGGUGAAGGAGACAAAUUUCACAGAUAAAGGACACUACUAUCUGUAAUCUGAAGACCUCAAAAGCAUCUUAGUCAUAAACAUUAUCCUGAAACAGAUAAAUGGAAAUCAGAUAUGAGGGAAGGAAUGGAUUGGUCCAAGGUCACUUAAGUGAGGAACAGACCUAGGAGAAACAAAAUAAUCCAAGCUUGUUUCAUUAUUAUUUAAUGAAUGUUAAGUGUCCAUGGUUGCUAUACAGAACACAUAAAAUCUGCGAUCCUAUCUUAAAAGCACAUGCAAAAAAUCCUCAGCUUAGCUGCCAGCGAAGAAUUCCUACAGUUUAACCCAAGGGAAAGAGGUUUUUUUGUUUUUCUUUUUUGUUUUGUUUUCAGGAAACCAAAAUAUUUGUUGCUGGAUUUAUACAGGAAGGCUGUUGUACAUCAGUUAAAUUCAUAUUGUCAAGAAAUGUUAAAAUGACAGGGGUAAUGUUCUCUUUGUAUGCUAUAUUUUCCCAUAAGUUUCUUCUUCCAGGCUUUAAAUAAAUGCCUAAGGAAUGGAAAGACUGUUUCAGGUGAAAUAAUUCUGAACUUGGAAUAUCUGAACCAACUGUUUCCUGUCUCUACCAUGUAGAUAGUAAUAUUUAUUUAUGGGAAGGUAUGCUACAACCUCUAUCUUCUAGUUGUAGAUUGAUUAUUAAGCACCUGGAUAAGUGACUGGAUACCUGAUGUUAGCUUCAGGAAGUUUUUUUUUUGUACUAAGGAUUGAACCUAAGGUGCUCUACCACUGAGCUAUAUCUCCAGAACACAUGCAUACUUUUUUUUUUUAAGACAGGGUCUAAGUUGCUGAGGUCUGGAACUUGUAAUCCUCCUGCCUCAGCCUUCUGAGUCUCUGAGAUUACAGGUAUGAGCCACUGUGACCAGCUAGGAAGUUUUCUCAUUAGAUGAAUAUGUAUUGCUUGCCAACUCUGCUCCGCACACACCUAGGUGCUAGGAUUAUAGCAGUGAACACCACCAGCGACAUUCCCAACUUCAUGGUGCUGCCUUGCUUCCUUAUAGGGAAGUAGCACUUGGCCAGGGAGCAGGAUGCUUUGGAGCCCCUUUGGCAAAAACUCAGGUUAAAGGGAAAGGGAUUGUAGAGUCCAGAUGGUGGAGAAGGAGAACUGCCAAGGCAAAAAGGAAUUUUUAUUUUUCUUUUGAAGUACUGGGGAUUGAACCAGGGGUGCUUUACUGAAACUACAUCCCUAGCCCUUUUUUAUUUUGAGACGGGAUCUUACUAAGUUGCCCAGACAGACCUGGAAUUGGCUGAGGUGGCCCUCAAACUUGACAUCCUCCUCUCUUAGCCAGCCAAAUGGCUAGGAUUGUAGGCUUCCAGGUGUAGGACACCUUACCCUGCCGCAAGAGGGAAUUGGUAGGGGGCACCAGGGGUCAGUGCUGAAUUGGUUUUACUUCUGAAACUCAUGGGCUAAUAAUGGCCUCAACAUUUGGAGUUUAAAAAAAAAAAUGGGGGAGGAGGGGUAUAAAAGCCUUAAGGUGAAAAUAUUUUCCCUAGAAUAGAAUACUUAAGGCUGCUAAUUUAGAUUUGUUUAUAAGUAAAAGUAUAGAGUGGAAAGGAUUUUAAAAGCACCACUCUUCAUAUCCAUUUGGCUCCUGUCAGUCAAAUGAAAAGAUUACUGCCUCAUGGAAAUGUUUCUGGCUACUUUAGUGCUACCACUUACAUGUUAUCACAUCACUCUUUUUCUUUGUCAUGUUGAUUUAAACCUAUCAUCUGUUUAUUGUUCAUUAUCUGUUUCCUCCCCAAAGAAUGUGACCUAGGAUAGAGAUGGUCUUACCUGUUUCUUUAUCCUAUCUGAGCAUUGCUCCCCCUGAUUACCACCCCGCACACACCAGUUAGGAGCCUUUCCCCAUGAUCUCAUACAGUUCCAUGGAAAUUAUCAUAUACAAAGGUAGAGAAAAUAGUAUAAAGAACCCCCAUGUACCCAUCACUCAGCUUCAAAAAUUAUCCACUCAUCACCAAUCUUGUGUUUUAUCUUCUCUUUCUCUCACUCCUCCCACCUCCUCACUUGAAUUGUUUGAAGCAAAUCCAGUCUACAUCAUUGCAUCUGUUGAUAUUCCAGUAUGUAUCAUAGAAGACAAAUAAAUGAUCUGUGC
This 2918-nucleotide long non-coding RNA is filed under the name Marmota monax (woodchuck). Lineage: Eukaryota; Metazoa; Chordata; Mammalia; Rodentia; Sciuridae. The record is from RNAcentral.